RNAcentral lists this unclassified non-coding RNA (223 nucleotides) under Hevea brasiliensis (rubber tree). Lineage: Eukaryota; Viridiplantae; Streptophyta; Magnoliopsida; Malpighiales; Euphorbiaceae. The record is from RNAcentral.
AAAAUGGGCCGCAUGGCGUGUUAUAGGAGUCAGGUGUAGCUUUACUCUUUCAAGAAAUGACUGUCUUUGUUGUUGUUCAGCGUGUUCGAUUUUUGUGCUUCUCGUCACUCUUUUCAUUCUGAUCUUGCUAAUUACAAGGUAAUGCUGUGCUGUUGACAAAUUUCUAAUUUUGUUUAAUCUAAGAACUCGAAUUUCCCAGAUAUGCACAACAAACGGAUGCAGG